CGGUAAUUCCAGCUCCAAUAGCGUAUACUAAAGUUGUUGCAGUUAAAAAGCUCGUAGUUGGAUUUCUGUGGGGACGGAGCGGCCGGCCGCACAUCGCGGUUCGAGCUAGCGCUUUCCCUACAUCCUGCCGCGAACCGUGCUACCAUUAGUUUGGUGGCGCUGGGGAUCGGCUCGAUUACUUUGAGAAAAAUAGAGUGUUCAAAGCAGGCCACACGCCUUGAAUAAGUUAGCAUGGAAUAAUAACUAAGGACUUCGGUUCUAUUUUGUUGGUGUUCGGGACUGAAGUAAUGAUUGAUAGGGACAGUUGGGGCGGUCUGUAUUCCAAAGCGAGAGGUGAAAUUCUUAGACCUUCGGAAGACAAACAGCUGCGAAAGCGUUCCGCAAGGAUGUUCCCUUUGAUCAAGAACGAAAGUUGGGGGAUCGAAGACGAUCAGAUACCGUCGUAGUCUCAACUAUAAACUAUACCAGCUAGGGAUCGGCCAACGUUAUUUUAUACCGACUUGGUCGGCACCUUAUGAGAAAUCAAAGCAUCUGGGUUCCGGGGGGAGUAUGGUCGCAAGGCUGAAACUUAAAGGAAUUGACGGAAGGGCACCACCAGCCGUGGAGCCUGUGGCUUAAUUUGACUCAACACGGGAAAACUUACCAGGUCCAGACAUAGUAAGGAUUGACAGAUUGAUAGCUCUUUCUUGAUUCUGUGGGUGGUGGUGCAUGGCCGUUCUUAGUUGGUGGAGUGAUUUGUCUGGUUAAUUCCGUUAACGAACGAGACCCCAGCCUGCUAAAUAGCGCGCGUGAGCUUUGCUCGCGGCGAGCUUCUUAGAGGGACUAUGAUGCGCGAUAGCACAUGGAAGUUUGGGGCAAUAACAGGUCUGUGAUGCCCUUAGAUGUUCUGGGCCGCACACGGGCUACACUGGCGCCUGCAACGAGCAUAUCAGCUGGCCCGAGAGGGUCUUGGCUAAUCUUUUGAACCGGCGCCGUGCUUGGGAUUGACCUUUGCAAUUGUUGGUCAUGCAACGAGGAAUGCCUUGUAAACGCGAGUCAUCAGCUCGCAUUGAAUACGUCCCUGCCCUUUGUACACACCGCCCGUCGCUCCUACCGAUGAAUGUUCCGAUGAAAUUUUCGGAGAGUGCCUGUGAACUUGGCUCUGCCUUGCGAACGGGAAGCUCAAAGUCACUUAAAUCUGAACAUUUCGAGGAGGGAGAAGUCGUAACAAGGUAGCCG
RNAcentral lists this ribosomal RNA (1218 nucleotides) under uncultured Rhizaria. RNAcentral's name for it is "SSU rRNA". It matches the Rfam family "Eukaryotic small subunit ribosomal RNA", at positions 577 to 1805 of the family's 1831-position model. The record is from RNAcentral.